CCUACGGUGUGCAGCAGUGAGGAAUAUUGGUCAAUGGGCGCGAGCCGGAACCAGCCAAGUAGCGUGAAGGAUGACUGCCCUACGGGUUGUAAACUUCUUUUAUAAAGGAAUAAAGUGAGGCACGUGUGCCUUUUUGUAUGUACUUUAUGAAUAAGGAUCGGCUAACUCCGUGCCAGCAGCCGCGGUAAUACGGAGGAUCCGAGCGUUAUCCGGAUUUAUUGGGUUUAAAGGGAGCGUAGAUGGGUUGUUAAGUCAGUUGUGAAAGUUUGCGGCUCAACCGUAAAAUUGCAAUUGAUACUGGCAGUCUUGAGUACAGUUGAGGUAGGCGGAAUUCGUGGUGUAGCGGUGAAAGGCUUAGAUAUCACGAAGAACUCCGAUUGCGAAGGCAGCUUACUAAACUGCCACUGACAUUGAUGCUCGAAAGUGUGGGUAUCAAACAGGAGUAGAUACCCGGGUAGUC
RNAcentral lists this ribosomal RNA (460 nucleotides) under uncultured bacterium. Its description in RNAcentral is "partial 16S ribosomal RNA". It matches the Rfam family "Bacterial small subunit ribosomal RNA", at positions 338 to 795 of the family's 1533-position model. The record is from RNAcentral.